CAGUAUGUGAAACUAAGCGGCUAUCACGUGGGUAGAUAUGUUGGCGUUAAUUUAUGUUCACCAACGCGCUAUAAAAUCUAUCUGAGCGAUGACUUGAAUGAAGUUUUUUUGAACGUUACCGAUUCCAGUGGACACGGACAAGACCACUGUGAGUUUAUUGGUGGUUCCGAAUGAAGCCGCGUCAAUUGACAAUGAUUUCUGGGAAUCUCCAUCAGCUAUAGGAUAUUAUCGUUCACGGUGGGGACAGGAGCCUACACUGGGAAACAUCGGUGGGGGUACUGGCGAUUCAUGGACUGGCAGAUUUUAUGUGCGGUGGAUUGAGUGUGGUUUAUCGAUACCAUGAGAUACAAAUGUAUUAGCAUAUUCUUUGUCAUCUGAUCUGAAUAUAACCAUUUACAUCUACUGCGAAGAUUUUGUUGGGGAAAAGGGAAUAUCGCUUGUAAAUAUGCUUACAGCCAGUGUUUUGCUCACAAGUGCUGAUUUACCGAAUUGUGUAGUUAAACAAUUGGAACAUAUCGAAUAUGUAUAUUGGAAAAUUGACGUCUACCAUCCAGAUUAGAGGUGCUGUUAACACUAGUCGUUGACAAAUGGUGCUAUUUAUGAUUUUUUUUAACAAAUACAAAUAUUGUUCAUAUAAAAACAUUACGUGAUAAUGUUACCAAUCAUGAACACUGUUGAACGUUUAUUUGAUAUAUAAAUUGACAAAUAUUAAGUAAAUACUCACAACCUCUCCACUUAAACACAUCGCAAUUCAAUAUAGACGUAAUUCUUUCUGAUGUUUUGAAGUGUUAUUUUUAUGUAAUUUCAAACUAUGUCCAGCUUUCGUGAUAUGACUUCAUCGAGGGAACGUGAAUUAAAACCUUUUCACUAAUAACAUAUUAUUGUUGACACGUGGGCAUGAUUCUUUAUACUGGGAAAAAAAUCGUGUAUAUGUAUUGUAAAGGCUGAUUUUUUUUUAAGAAUACAUUAUGGGAAGUAAAGUUUAACUUUUGGAUUA
Long non-coding RNA from Saccoglossus kowalevskii, 997 nucleotides. NCBI's taxonomy places the organism in Eukaryota, Metazoa, Hemichordata, Enteropneusta, Harrimaniidae. The record is from RefSeq and is a predicted model, not a curated record.